RNAcentral lists this ribosomal RNA (944 nucleotides) under Allochotes sp. G0192. RNAcentral describes it as "SSU rRNA". It matches the Rfam family "Eukaryotic small subunit ribosomal RNA", at positions 395 to 1300 of the family's 1831-position model. The record is from RNAcentral. Lineage: Eukaryota; Metazoa; Arthropoda; Insecta; Coleoptera; Cleridae.
CCUGAGAAACGGCUACCACAUCCAAGGAAGGCAGCAGGCGCGCAAAUUACCCACUCCCGGCACGGGGAGGUAGUGACGAAAAAUAACGAUACGGGACUCAUCCGAGGCCCCGUAAUCGGAAUGAGUACACUCUAAACCCUUUAACGAGGAUCAAUUGGAGGGCAAGUCUGGUGCCAGCAGCCGCGGUAAUUCCAGCUCCAAUAGCGUAUAUUAAAGUUGUUGCGGUUAAAAAGCUCGUAGUCGAAUUUGUGUCCCGCGCCGCCGGUUCAUCGUCCGCGGUGUUAACUGGCGUGCCGCGGUACGUCCUGCCGGUGGGCUUAGCUCUUCGGGGCGGCCCAACUCAAUCCCGCCGCGGUGCUCUUCACUGAGUGUCGAGGUGGGCCGGCACGUUUACUUUGAACAAAUUAGAGUGCUUAAAGCAGGCUAAAACUUCGCCUGAAUACUGUGUGCAUGGAAUAAUGGAAUAGGACCUCGGUUCUAUUUUGUUGGUUUUCGGAACCCCGAGGUAAUGAUUAAUAGGAACGGAUGGGGGCAUUCGUAUUGCGACGUUACAGGUGAAAUUCUUGGACCGUCGCAAGACGGACAGAAGCGAAAGCAUUUGCCAAAAACGCUUUCAUUGAUCAAGAACGAAAGUUAGAGGUUCGAAGGCGAUCAGAUACCGCCCUAGUUCUAACCAUAAACGAUGCCAGCUAGCGAUCCGCCGACGUUCCUCCGAUGACUCGGCGGGCAGCUUCCGGGAAACCAAAGCUUUUGGGUUCCGGGGGAAGUAUGGUUGCAAAGCUGAAACUUAAAGGAAUUGACGGAAGGGCACCACCAGGAGUGGAGCCUGCGGCUUAAUUUGACUCAACACGGGAAAUCUCACCAGGCCCGGACACCGGAAGGAUUGACAGAUUGAGAGCUCUUUCUUGAUUCGGUGGGUGGUGGUGCAUGGCCGUUCUUAGUUG